GAAAGAGGCUUGAGUUCUUAAUCAUUGAUUUUAUGUUUGCAGAGAUAUUAAAUUGCUUCCUCUUAUUUUAUUUCAGGAGGUCCCCAACAUUGGGUGAGCUCCAAAAUAAUAUUCCUCUUAUUAUUAUUAUGUGUCUUCUAUUUGUUUCAUAACAUUUGCAAACUUCCUUUUCUUUCCAUUUAUAUUUUCUUUCCUUUUAACUCCUCAUUUCACCAG
RNAcentral lists this long non-coding RNA (216 nucleotides) under Elaeis guineensis (African oil palm). RNAcentral describes it as "long non-coding RNA (EGUI_LNC007698)". The record is from RNAcentral. Lineage: Eukaryota; Viridiplantae; Streptophyta; Magnoliopsida; Arecales; Arecaceae.